UACAGAGGGGGCAAGCGUUGUUCGGAAUUACUGGGCGUAAAGGGCGCGUAGGCGGCCUGCUAAGUCGAACGUGAAAUCCCCGGGCUCAACCCGGGAACUGCGUCCGAUACUGGCAGGCUUGAAUCCGGGAGAGGGAUGCGGAAUUCCAGGUGUAGCGGUGAAAUGCGUAGAUAUCUGGAGGAACACCGGUGGCGAAGGCGGCAUCCUGGACCGGCAUUGACGCUGAGGCGCGAAAGCCAGGGGAGCAAACGGGAUUAGAAACCCCCGUAGUCC
RNAcentral lists this ribosomal RNA (273 nucleotides) under uncultured bacterium. Its description in RNAcentral is "partial 16S ribosomal RNA". It matches the Rfam family "Bacterial small subunit ribosomal RNA", at positions 524 to 796 of the family's 1533-position model. The record is from RNAcentral.